RNAcentral lists this long non-coding RNA (308 nucleotides) under Malus domestica (apple). RNAcentral describes it as "long non-coding RNA (MDOM_LNC019101)". Lineage: Eukaryota; Viridiplantae; Streptophyta; Magnoliopsida; Rosales; Rosaceae. The record is from RNAcentral.
GGGCCGGCCACUUUAGGUGAGGAAAUGUGAGAUAUUUAGUCAAGUUGUUGACUAGGUUUCUUUUGUCUAUAUAAAGAACUUUAUAGAGAUAAAGUUCAUUAGGGUUUUUGUGAGUUUUGAACAACAAAAGAGGCAAAAGAAAAUAGCUCUCUUGAACCACAAAGGCCGGCCACCAUAAGGGGGUUUUUACUAACAUCUCUUACACCCUUUUGGUUAUUCCUUCAUCCUUCUCACUACACUAGUGGGUGAGGAUCUUUAGAGGUUUCCUACUUUGGGAACUUGAAGAGAACCUAGGAGCACUCAUUGUA